This 253-nucleotide ribosomal RNA is filed under the name uncultured bacterium. RNAcentral's name for it is "partial 16S ribosomal RNA". It matches the Rfam family "Bacterial small subunit ribosomal RNA", at positions 524 to 776 of the family's 1533-position model. The record is from RNAcentral.
UACAGAGGGUGCGAGCGUUAAUCGGAAUUACUGGGCGUAAAGCGUGCGUAGACGGUAGCGUAAGUCAGAUGUGAAAGCCCCGGGCUCAACCUGGGAACUGCAUUUGAGACUGCUCUGCUCGGGUGCGGAAGAGGGAAGCGGAAUUUCCGGUGUAGCGGUGAAAUGCGUAGAGAUCGGGAGGAACACCAGUGGCGAAGGCGGCUACCUGGACCAGCACUGACACUGAGGCACGAAAGCGUGGGGAGCGAACAGG